CCAUUUUACCCUUGUUUUACCGUACUUUAAUUAAUUAAUUGUUGUCACACAAAUCUACAGGGUCAUUUCUUUUUUGCAAUUUUCAUCUAAAUAGACAAAGCCUAGUAAAGUAAGUGUUGGCCUUCAAAACAAAAGGGGAUUAUGAAACCAUGAAACAGAGACCAAAAUUGAUAGAUACAUAAAACAGAGGCUUAGUUUAGACCAAAAUUUAAAAUAAUCUCAUAUUCUUUCACCUUUUACUAAAAAAAGAAAAAACAACCAAAUAUUAUUAUACGAAGUUAUUAGAAAAAGAAGUAUCUGUUUCUCCACUUGUUUGACUCAUAUUCCUGCAUAGAAAAAGCCAAACUUCAUAUUCAACACCAGCUAAUAUAAUUUUUAUUGAUUUUCUUUCCUAUGAAUCACCAUGACUAAUAACUUCUUCCUUUUGGUUUUGUUGGUAUCUAACCGGAUCUUUUUACUAAAAUAAUACAAUCUGGAAUUAAUAUUAUUAUUUUAUAUGUUCUUUUUUUUUCUUUAAGUAAAAUAAAACAAAAAAAAUUGUCAUGGGUAUAAAGAUGGUCUAGCACUAAGGUGUAAACUCAAGAAUCCUAUAUGAUGAAGCUCUAAGUUGAAAGAUAAUUAUAUAAGGAAUUGAAUUACAUGCAAGUUACAAUUUUUAUUUUCAUUUUAUAACAUAAAUAUUAAAUAGUAUCUUGUUUAAAAAAACAAUAAUCUGUAUUUUCUUUAAGCAAAAUGGUAAAUAGGUUGGUUAAGUAAAUAGUCAAACAUGUAAUUUUUACUUUUAAAAUGCUUCAUCACCAACAACUUUCUUUUGAAUUCUUCAAUCUGUGUUUGUCAAUGUAAGGCAACUACUUUCUUCAAAUCAUCCUUUUUCUCUCUCUGCAAGUCGAGGCAAACAGUGGUUGGUACUGUGUGUGUGUUUGUAACAGAAAAUCAAUUUCAGCCAAAUAAGGUACCACAAACACCAAGGAUAAGAUCCGAGGAAUGUGACAUGCAUUGGAUUUCUCAAUUUUGUCAACUUUUUUUUAUUUUUUUUUUUUGUAAAUAUUAAUAAAACAUAUUCAUUGCUAUAAGUUUAAAUUUAAUUGAAACACUUACCUCUCCUGUGAGCAAAACAGGUCUCUUUUAUAAAAAGGUUACACAUUGGACCAUAGGAACGGAACUGUAGAUGCAAGCAUGAAAACAUGGGAAACCAAAGUAAGUAAAUGGUAUCCCUACCAACUCAAAGAACACAUACAUCAAAAACUGCAUAAAAUUACCAGAUAAAAAAAAAUAUUACUUGUAAUAUGAAACCUGUAACAUUAUGGUGACAUGGGUACCUUCAACCUCCCAUUCGAAUGUAGGAGCAGAGCAAUUGGUUAUACAGAGGGUCCAAUUGAUCGACGAUACCUUGAUAAGAACCGAGAAUAAAAUCGAUUUCAGGUAUUAGGAAAUCGUUUUGAUACUUGAGCUAUUAGGAAAUCGAUUUGAUACCUGAGAAAGAGAAGGAGAAGGUGGUUUCUUCCAUGUCGAUGAGCUGAGGUGGGGAUAAAUCGGAGGUUUUCCUCAGGAAGCGAAGACUUCUAGCCGGACGUGAAGCUGAUCAACAAAAACUCAAGCUGUCAAAAGUACCAUAAAUCGAUGCUAAACUUAAAUAGUUAAUAGCGCAAUGAUCAGUGAAUAACUCGAAAUCCGAUCCCGAACUUUCAUAUACUUCUAUCAACAAUCGGAAUGAGGAAGCAGCCGGACAUGUGGCUUUAACAAAUUCAAGACUAUCAUAAUAACUGGCUUUCAAUAUGAUCAGAAGCUAAUUCAAACUAAGCAAAACGAUAAAAGUUUGCCUCAGAUAAACAAAACCAUAUUUAAAGUUCUAUGAUCAAAUCAGGAAGAAAAUCAGAGCAUAUCGAUCUUAUUAUAUCUACAAAAUUCUACAUGAUACGCGAAAGCAACCAUACGAAAUAGUUGAUCAACAAAAACUCAAGCUGUCAAAAGUACCAUGAAUCGAUGCUAAACUUAAAUAGUUAAUAGCGCGAUGAUCAGUGAAUAACUCGAAAUCCGAUCCCGAACUUUCAGAUACUUCUAUCAACAAUCGGAAUCAGGAAGCAACCGGACAUGUGGCUUUAAUAUGAAAGGGGAUUUAGGGUUUUUGAUGAUGUCGCAAUGGUGAGGAGUUAGACCGGUGGCCGGUACAGAGAAAAGCGGAGUAGGUUGUCGAUGAAUGAGAUCCGCAAGAGAGCAUAUUGGUGUGGAAGGAUUUGGAGGCAGUGAUAGAUUACCAGC
Molecule: long non-coding RNA, 2259 nt
Filed under: Lactuca sativa (garden lettuce)
Lineage: Eukaryota; Viridiplantae; Streptophyta; Magnoliopsida; Asterales; Asteraceae
Description: long non-coding RNA (LSAT_LNC003250)
Source: RNAcentral